GCACUUUUGAUGAUUAGAGUCUUGGUGAUGCGCUAUGCGGCGUCGUUUGGGUAUCUGCGGACAGUAAUGCGCGGUGGUUCGUGUUCGAAACAAACGUGCCGUGGAGAAUUGUGGAAAAAGAAAACAAAACAAUCAGACACGAUUUCCAACGACGGUGCGUUUGCUCCGAGAUAUGCGAUUUUUUUUUUCCGGAAAAAUUGCACUGUAGCCUUUUUAAG
RNAcentral lists this unclassified non-coding RNA (218 nucleotides) under Hevea brasiliensis (rubber tree). The record is from RNAcentral. Lineage: Eukaryota; Viridiplantae; Streptophyta; Magnoliopsida; Malpighiales; Euphorbiaceae.